RNAcentral lists this transfer RNA (84 nucleotides) under Gronococcus sybilensis. RNAcentral describes it as "tRNA-Leu". It matches the Rfam family "tRNA". From Rfam's summary of the family: Transfer RNA (tRNA) molecules are approximately 80 nucleotides in length. Their secondary structure includes four short double-helical elements and three loops (D, anti-codon, and T loops). Lineage: Eukaryota; Rhodophyta; Bangiophyceae; Cavernulicolales; Cavernulicolaceae. The record is from RNAcentral.
UGCGGGUGUGGUGGAAUGGUAGACACACACGCUUGAGGGGCGUGUUGCCUUGUGCAGUACGAGUUCAAGUCUCGUCAUCCGCAU